This 497-nucleotide ribosomal RNA is filed under the name uncultured bacterium. Its description in RNAcentral is "partial 16S ribosomal RNA". It matches the Rfam family "Bacterial small subunit ribosomal RNA", at positions 28 to 507 of the family's 1533-position model. The record is from RNAcentral.
GAUGAACGCUGGCGGCGUGCCUAAUACAUGCAAGUCGAGCGAACAGACGAGGAGCUUGCUCCUCUGACGUUAGCGGCGGACGGGUGAGUAACACGUGGAUAACCUACCUAUAAGACUGGGAUAACUUCGGGAAACCGGAGCUAAUACCGGAUAAUAUAUUGAACCGCAUGGUUCAAUAGUGAAAGACGGUUUUGCUGUCACUUAUAGAUGGAUCCGCGCCGCAUUAGCUAGUUGGUAAGGUAACGGCUUACCAAGGCAACGAUGCGUAGCCGACCUGAGAGGGUGAUCGGCCACACUGGAACGGGAACACGGUCCAGACUCCUACGGGAGGCAGCAGUAGGGAAUCUUCCGCAAUGGGCGAAAGCCUGACGGAGCAACGCCGCGUGAGUGAUGAAGGUGUUCGGAUCGUAAAACUCUGUUAUUAGGGAAGAACAAAUGUGUAAGUAACUAUGCACGUCUUGACGGUACCUAGUCAGAAAGCCACGGCUAACUACGUG